GACGAAGGGGGCUAGCGUUGUUCGGAAUUACUGGGCGUAAAGCGCACGUAGGCGGCUACUCAAGUCAGAGGUGAAAGCCCAGGGCUCAACCUUGGAACUGCCUUUGAAACUAGGUAGCUAGAAUUCUGGAGAGGUCAGUGGAAUUCCGAGUGUAGAGGUGAAAUUCGUAGAUAUUCGGAAGAACACCAGUGGCGAAGGCGACUGACUGGACAGAUAUUGACGCUGAGGUGCGAAAGCGUGGGGAGCAAACAGG
This 253-nucleotide ribosomal RNA is filed under the name uncultured bacterium. RNAcentral's name for it is "partial 16S ribosomal RNA". It matches the Rfam family "Bacterial small subunit ribosomal RNA", at positions 524 to 776 of the family's 1533-position model. The record is from RNAcentral.